AAGGGGGUCUGCUUGUUUACAGCUUGUCAAAUUGUUUAUCCUGGAGUGCCUCAGCUGCUUCACAAAUAAAAUACGGAUUCAUUCAUUCAUUGAAUUCUUCAUUCAGCAGAUAAUUAUUUAGCUUCUGCUAUGUCCUAGGCACUAUUCUAUAUAUCUGGAAUAUGUUAGUGAACAAAAGAAGGACCGCUGAUGUUCCUGUGGAACUCAUACAUUCUCUAAGGGGGACACACAGAAAAACAUCAAAUGUAAGAGAUGAGUAAAUAAUACAAUAUGUUAGUAGGUGGUAAUGCUAAGGAAGCAAGAGUGGAAAAGGUAGGGGUGGGAUAGACUGUAGGUCCCUGAGGCAUAGUGCAGUUUUAAAUAGGGUGGUCAGGGUAGGCCAAGUGAGAGUCUUUGCCAAGUGUCUGGGCAAAGACUUCGAGGUGAAGGACUUAGCCAAGUGGAAAUCUGGGGGCAGCAUGUUCCAGGAAGAGUAUCACAUCUGGAGCAAAGGUCAAAUUUGGGAGCAGAUCAUGCAAAGCUAUGCAGGCUGCGUUACAGACUUCAGUUUUGCUCUAUGGGAAAUGAGCAGCCACUGCUGGAUUUCUAGCAAGCCAUUGGUAUUUUCAAAGUUGUGGAGAAUCUUUACCAUAGGAAGCAUGAAUAGGAGCGGAGUCAUAAGGACCUGUAGGAUUUGGGACAUAUUUUGAAGAGGGGGCCAGUCAACACCAAGAUUUUGAUGCAAGCAUCCAGAGUGAUGGUGAUGCCUGCAGGAGGUUUUGUUGCAGACAGAGCAAGUCAAGGGUAAACUAUUUCUAGGGUUUCUUGAUCUUUGGUGAUCUCUGUUGUGGCUUGAAUCCAAAAGCCUCUUCUCUGACUUGGUGUUUCUCACAAACCUUAUUGCCAGUCCUCCUCUUUAGCUUUGCAGCCCUUCAAGUCUUAGCUUUAGGGAGGAAGAGUAGCCUCAUUUGCCAGGCAGCUUAUACGCUGGUUCCUCUUACUCAGUGCUUAGGUGUAAAUCUCUCCACUAAGUGUCUUCCCUCUGGACACUGGACCUAGAGUGAAUAUGAAUGACUCCUAGUUGAGGGGAGAAAACCUUCCUAGUACUUUCAAUAUUUUCUUUACUUUUUUUUCAUAAGAGUAAUUUUUUUUCAUUUUUCUUUUCUUUUCUUUUUUCCUUUUUGGCCCCUCUACGGUGUAUGUGGAGUUCCCUGGCCAGGAGUCAGAUCUGAGCCCCAGUUGCUACCUGAGGCGCAGCUGCGGCAACAUUGGAUCCUUUAAUUCACUGUGUGCCGCAAAGAUGCCACCCAUCCUGUUGUAGCACAGAGGGAACGCCAAGAUUGAUUUUUUUCUUAUAAAUUUUUCUUAAAAUUAUAUAUUAUAAUAAUUUAAGUUUUAGAAGCAAAACUGAUCCUCAUUUUGUAGCAUUAAGGGUUAAUUUCUCUAGGUAAGGAGACCAUGGACAUGUUUCUUCUAGUUUUAUCAGAAUGUUUGAACCUUGAGCAGGAAAAAUUCCUCUUAAGGAUGAGCAGGAAAUAUACUUUCCCUAUCAAUCUUAUCACUUACUUCUUUAUUUUGGGUCAUCUGUAGGGAUUGUUGGGUUUACAGCCGACAGAAUGAGUUUUAAAAUAUGCCAACUGGCCACCAGGACCUGGGUUGAAACUAUAAACUGAUUUUAUUCAGGUCUCUGCAUAAGUGUGAUAGAGGCAUUGGUCCCCAUGGUCAAGUUUGCACUAAAGUCAUUGCACAGCAAAACCUCCCAAGGCUACAUUUUUAUGUUUCAUUUUCAGACUGUUGGUGCCAAAGGAGCAAUUAAAAUGUGUGAAUGAUGUCUAUUUCCCUCUUGAUAAAUAAUGUGGAUGGCCUACAGUCUGUUCAUAUUCAUGGCAAGGGAUUUAACAGGCUAUUGUGUUAGUAACAAUGUGGAUGCAAAUUAUAAACAUUUAUCAUCUCAAAGUUUCAUGCCAUUUUCAAAGCAAUGUCAGUUGAAACAGAUGCUCUAAACCCCCCCCCAAAAAAACAAUCUUUAGAUGAUUUCUCCACAUUCUCCCAAAACAAUUUGUCUCUCAGUAACUUCUAUUUAUUAUAUCAAAUAAUAUUGCAAAAUCUACUAGAAAGUGAAGUGUAGAGGAUAAAAAUUUUAAUGUAAUAUCCUCUAAAAUUGAUUUCCUAUCUCUCUAGAUGCUGUGAGCUAUUAUUAAAGUAUAUCAAUAACAACUUCCAUGUGCUGGAAGGUAAUAAUAAGUUCCCUGUGCAUGUUUAUUACCAUGUAUAUUAGGAGGUAAACUACAUAUAUGCUAAUGACAAUUUCCCAAUAUAUUUAUCUAUUUAUCUCAGAAUUUUACAAUUGAUAUUCUCUUCACUCCGGAAAAUCACUGAUCCUAACAGAAAAGUCUAAAGAUUUGAAAGUCUUAAACUUGAAGGGAUAUUUUGCCAAGGGGAAAAGACUCUUUAAGAAUUAUUAUAUUGGAAUUACCUUGUGACACAGUGGAAUUCCCUCUGGCAUUGUCACUGCAGCAGCUCUGGUCACUGCAUGUGGAAAUACAGAGAAACAUAAAUCGUGGACUUGACCUCAAGGGGCUUAUUAUCUAGUUAGUAGGAUGGUCAAAGUUAAAAUAUACAUGGACAUAGGAGACAAUAAUCUCAUAAUUAAAUGGAUAUCAGAGAAGCAUAUUUUAGGCAUUUUGAAAGGAAAUAUUGUGAGAUAAUCAGGAAAGAUUUUAUGGAAGAAGUGGAAUUAGGCAGAGAUUAGGGGAGGUGAACUCUUGAUAGGCGAAAAGGAGGGAGUAGGUAAUGUGUUGAUGAAAAAUACCCCAAAAGAUGAAGGCAAGAGAAGCUCAGAGGCUUGGGGGUAGUGGUGGUAGGAUUGGGAGGUGAUAAGUUUAGAGAGAGGGAUAGAUUUAUGGCAAUGAGAGGAAGCAAAGCCUGGUAAUCAAUGUGCAAAAGCCUAAAGCAUUUAGAUCCUACUCUGAGGCCCAUCUACUAUGGGGAGGUUCGUUUCUUGUAUAAGGAUUCAGGCAGAGUAGAGAUUAAGUCCCAGCUCCACCGCCUAUGAACUGUAGGGUAUUUAGUGAUUUAACUUCUUUGAACUUCAAUUUGCCCUCUGCCCUCUAUCCAAUGGAGAUUCUACCCACCAAGCAGGGUUGUGAAGGCUACAUGAAACAACACUUCAUUGUUACAUUAUCUAUCACCUCCUCUCCAGUAAAUGGGUGGGGCAGGGAAGCUACAGUAAGGGCUUGUGAAGAGCAAAGUGACAUCAUUAAAGGGAUGGCUGUGGCAUUAGAGGAUUAUUCAUUUUGUGAUGGUGUGCAGGAUGAACUGAGGAAGGUGAGCAUGCGUGGGUUGGAGGUGAGCGGAUUCAGGAAAACAAGUUUAUUUGACCACACCCAGGGUCCCAAAUAGCCAGACUGGCCACGGCCAAGCCAGUGGAAGUGACAAAAUGAUUGUCAGAAGGGAAGACCGAAGGGAUUUGGUAACGAUAGAGCCAAAUGUAAAAAAGUGAGAUUCAGAGGAAAAAUCAGCAGACUCCAGGAUGAAGAAAGAAGUAUCAAACAGUAGAACAAAGUAUUAAGGUUGAAAAACUUCUAACAGACGUUUGUGUUUGGGUGCUUUCUGCUUUGUUCUGCUCUGUCUGCCCAGUGCCCUAUCCUCCCCUUUCCUUGGGGUUAGCUCUUCUCUCCCUUUGAUGACAUGUCUGUAUCUGGCAAAUCAGAGCCCUUUAUUGUCUUGGCACAAUGACUGGUCUGGAGGUGAGCUUGUCAUAAGCCUGGGCCAGCCAGAGUCCUUCCCCAGGAUUUUCCUACCUGAGAUAAAUCAACUCCUCUUGACCUCUCUGGGUAUAGAAGCUAGAAGGAUAUCUAGAGUAAACUGAUGGCAGGAGUAUGUGAAGCCAAACAGAGACCACAGGGGAGUUGAGGAGAAGCAGAAGGAUGGAUUUAGAGGUUGAUGAUGUUAUUAGUUCCAUUUCCCAAGAUCCACAGAAUUGCCCUGAUUUCUGUAGGAUUCCUUGUGAAAUUUCUGUGAACUUUGAUCCCUCUAACAAAUCCUCUUCUGUUUAAGCUAGGUUAUGCAACAGAGACACCACUAGAUUUGACUUCAGAAAAGUUAAAAUUCCUAUAAGCCAAAGUAUUAUGAACAAAACCAAGUUGAAUAAACUGGGAAACAUUCCCCGUUGGAAACAAAUACAAUAUG
Molecule: long non-coding RNA, 4170 nt
Filed under: Sus scrofa (pig)
Lineage: Eukaryota; Metazoa; Chordata; Mammalia; Artiodactyla; Suidae
Description: lncRNA (ENSSSCG00005035664.1)
Source: RNAcentral